Molecule: ribosomal RNA, 253 nt
Filed under: uncultured bacterium
Lineage: Bacteria
Description: partial 16S ribosomal RNA
Rfam family: Bacterial small subunit ribosomal RNA
Source: RNAcentral
UACGAAGGGUGCAAGCGUUACUCGGAAUUACUGGGCGUAAAGCGUGCGUAGGUGGUUCGUUAAGUCUGAUGUGAAAGCCCUGAGCUCAACCUGAGAAUUGCAUUAGAUACUGGCAGGCUAGAGUGCGGUAGAGGAUGGCGGAAUUCCCGGUGUAGCAGUGAAAUGCAUAGAGAUCGGGAAAAACAUCUGUAACGAAGGCGACCAUCUAGACCAGCACUGACACUGAGGCACGAAAGCGUGGGGAGCAAACAGG